UACGGAGGGUGCAAGCGUUGUCCGGAUUUAUUGGGUUUAAAGGGUGCGUAGGCGGGUUAUUAAGUCAGUGGUGAAAGCCGGCAGCUCAACUGUCGAACUGCCAUUGAUACUGAUAGUCUUGAGUAUAGUGGAGGUAGGCGGAAUGGAAGGUGUAGCGGUGAAAUGCAUAGAUAUCUCCCAGAACCCCGAUAGCGUAGGCAGCGUAUUAAGCUAUAACUGACGCUGAGGCACGAAAGCGUGGGGAGCGAACAGG
Molecule: unclassified non-coding RNA, 253 nt
Filed under: uncultured Cyclobacteriaceae bacterium
Lineage: Bacteria; Pseudomonadati; Bacteroidota; Cytophagia; Cytophagales; Cyclobacteriaceae
Description: contains 16S-23S intergenic spacer region
Rfam family: Bacterial small subunit ribosomal RNA
Source: RNAcentral